This 230-nucleotide ribosomal RNA is filed under the name uncultured bacterium. RNAcentral's name for it is "partial 16S ribosomal RNA". It matches the Rfam family "Bacterial small subunit ribosomal RNA", at positions 562 to 791 of the family's 1533-position model. The record is from RNAcentral.
AAAGCGUGCGCAGGCGGUUAUAUAAGACAGAUGUGAAAUCCCCGGGCUCAACCUGGGAACUGCAUUUGUGACUGUAUAGCUGGAGUGCGGCAGAGGGGGAUGGAAUUCCGCGUGUAGCAGUGAAAUGCGUAGAUAUGCGGAGGAACACCGAUGGCGAAGGCAAUCCCCUGGGCCUGCACUGACGCUCAUGCACGAAAGCGUGGGGAGCAAACAGGAUUAGAUACCCUAGU